Chinchilla lanigera (long-tailed chinchilla) is the source of this 1441-nucleotide long non-coding RNA. RefSeq lists it as uncharacterized. The transcript is spliced from 3 exons. The record is from RefSeq and is a predicted model, not a curated record. Lineage: Eukaryota; Metazoa; Chordata; Mammalia; Rodentia; Chinchillidae.
AGCCCGGAAGUGGUUAGUUAGGGCGUCGCCAUGACAGUCUGUGGCCGGAAAGAGCGGCACGGCGCCGCCAUGACGGAGAGGGAGAGAAAGGUUUAGGGCGGCCUGCUCGUGCUGCCACGCCGGAUUAUGACCGGAAAAGACGGGCGCCACCAUGACAACCCGAACCGGAAGAGGCGAACCCUCCUGGGUGACUGCACGAGCACCUCCCUGUCACGAAGGGCGGAGCCUGGAGUUUGGGAAAGGAGGGCCAAUCGAGACGGGCCUUCAGGGGCGGGGCUUAGGGUGGAGGCGGGGCUUGUGGGAGUAGGUCGUGGGAGGGCUCUGUUAUGGGGCGGGGUUUGCGAGGGCGGGCCCUGUGGGGCGGAGCACAGGGGCGGGGUCCUGCUGAGGAGGUGGGAUUUGUGGGGGCAGAACGUGUGCGGCAGGCCCUUUUGUGGGGGCGGGUUUGAGAGCGCGCGUCCCACAGACGCGGGUCCUUCUGUGGGUGCAGAGCUUGAGAGGGUUGCCUUGGUCGGAGGUGCAGACCCGGUUGAAGUCUCCAGGGCAGCCAGGGCCAAGCCUCCAGAAGGUGGUUGCAGGGACCCAGGCACACCUAUCUCCGCUUCUUGAAACUAAGAGCCCAGCCCAGCCCCUGUCAGUGCCCUGCAGCUGUGAUCUCACCGGGCUGACAGCGGUGCCCCAGCCCUGCUGACCCACCCUGUUUGUGCUGGGGUGGGUGUGGGGAGCGACUGAAGCUGCAGAUGGACCGCACAUGCGGGACUAAAGCGAGGCCAGCUCUGAGAACAGAGUGCCCAAGCUUGAGAGCUGCACUGGACGUGCAGCAAAACUGUGGUACUCUGAAAAAGGAGAUUGAAGAGGACAUCAGAAAAUGGAAAGACAUCCCUUUUCCUGGAUAGACAGAACCAAUGUUAUCAAAAUGACCACACUACCAAAAGUGAUAUAUGAACUUCAUGCAAUACAAACGAAAAGAGCAAUAGCAUUCCUCAGAGAACUGGAGAAAACAAUCCUAAAAUUUAGAAGGAACCUGAAGGGACCCAGAAUAGCAACAGCAGUACUAGGCAACAAGAGCAAAGCAGGAAGCAUUGCAGUCUACAAUUUCAAGUUGUAUUGCGAAACUGCAGUGGUAAAAACAUCAUUGCACUCUCAUUAAAAGUCAUACAGAUUAAAGGAACAGAACAGAGGGUGCAGAAACAACCCUCAGCACAUUUAGCUGUCUGACGUUUAACAAAGGGGCCAAAAACAUUCACUGGAGGAAAGAUAGAAACUUUAGCAAAGGGUGUGGGGGAAACUGGCCAUGUACUGAACUAAAAUCAAAAUAGAUCAAAGAUCUAAAUACUCGAACGGAAGCAAUCUUCUGGGAGAUAAUAUAGGUAAAACUCUUAAAGACAGAGGCACAGGUGAGGACUUUCUAAACAGAACACUCUUCUUGAGAAACCACUUU